This 253-nucleotide ribosomal RNA is filed under the name uncultured bacterium. RNAcentral describes it as "partial 16S ribosomal RNA". It matches the Rfam family "Bacterial small subunit ribosomal RNA", at positions 524 to 776 of the family's 1533-position model. The record is from RNAcentral.
UACGGAGGAUCCGAGCGUUAUCCGGAUUUAUUGGGUUUAAAGGGAGCGUAGGCGGGUGCUUAAGUCAGUUGUGAAAGUUUGCGGCUCAACCGUAAAAUUGCAGUUGAUACUGGGCGCCUUGAGUGCAGCAUAGGUAGGCGGAAUUCGUGGUGUAGCGGUGAAAUGCUUAGAUAUCACGAAGAACUCCAAUUGCGAAGGCAGCUCACUGGGGUACAACUGACACUGAGGCUCGAAAGUGUGGGUAUCAAACAGG